RNAcentral lists this ribosomal RNA (253 nucleotides) under uncultured bacterium. RNAcentral's name for it is "partial 16S ribosomal RNA". It matches the Rfam family "Bacterial small subunit ribosomal RNA", at positions 524 to 776 of the family's 1533-position model. The record is from RNAcentral.
UACGAAGGACCCGAGCGUUAUCCGGAUUUAUUGGGUUUAAAGGGUGCGUAGGCGGACAUGCAAGUCAGUGGUGAAAUCUCCCUGCUCAACAGGGAAACUGCCAUUGAAGCUAUGUGUCUUGAGUACAUUUGAGGCGGGCGGAAUGUGUCAUGUAGAGGUGAAAUUCUUAGAUAUGACACAGAACACCAAUUGCGCAGGCAGCUCGCUAAACUGUAACUGACGCUGAGGCACGAAAGCGUGGGGAUCAAACAGG